RNAcentral lists this ribosomal RNA (460 nucleotides) under uncultured bacterium. RNAcentral describes it as "partial 16S ribosomal RNA". It matches the Rfam family "Bacterial small subunit ribosomal RNA", at positions 338 to 795 of the family's 1533-position model. The record is from RNAcentral.
CCUACGGGCGGCAGCAGUGAGGAAUAUUGGUCAAUGGACGCGAGCCUGAACCAGCCAAGUAGCGUGAAGGAUGACUGCCCUACGGGUUGUAAACUUCUUUUAUAAAGGAAUAAAGUGCGGCACUUGUGCCUUUUUGUAUGUACUUUAUGAAUAAGGAUCGGCUAACUCCGUGCCAGCAGCCGCGGUAAUACGGAGGAUCCGAGCGUUAUACGGAUUUAUUGGGUUUAAAGGGAGCGUAGAUGGGUUGUUAAGUCAGUUGUGAAAGUUUGCGGCUCAACCGUAAAAUUGCAAUUGAUACUGGCAGUCUUGAGUACAGGUGAGGUAGGCGGAAUUCGUGGUGUAGCGGUGAAAUGCGUAGAUAUCACGAAGAACUCCGAUUGCGAAGGCAGCUUACUAAACUGCCACUGACAUUGAUGCUCGAAAGUGUGGGGAGCAAACAGGAGUAGAUACCCCGGUAGUC